This 253-nucleotide ribosomal RNA is filed under the name uncultured bacterium. RNAcentral's name for it is "partial 16S ribosomal RNA". It matches the Rfam family "Bacterial small subunit ribosomal RNA", at positions 524 to 776 of the family's 1533-position model. The record is from RNAcentral.
UACAGAGGGUGCAAACGUUGUUCGGAAUUACUGGGCGUAAAGCGCGUGUAGGCGGUCCGCUAAGUCGACUGUGAAAGCCCGUGGCUCAACCACGGAAGUGCAGUCGAAACUGACGGACUCGAGUCCCGGAGAGGGUGGCGGAAUUCCCAGUGUAGAGGUGAAAUUCGUAGAUAUUGGGAGGAACACCGGUGGCGAAGGCGGCCACCUGGACGGGUACUGACGCUGAGACGCGAAAGCGUGGGUAGCAAACAGG